This 352-nucleotide unclassified non-coding RNA is filed under the name soil metagenome. RNAcentral describes it as "partial contains 5.8S ribosomal RNA, internal transcribed spacer 2, and large subunit ribosomal RNA". The stretch from base 1 to 120 matches the Rfam family "5.8S ribosomal RNA", at positions 35 to 154 of the family's 154-position model. The record is from RNAcentral.
GAUGAAGAACGUAGCGAAAUGCGAUAAGUAAUGUGAAUUGCAGAAUUCAGUGAAUCAUCGAAUCUUUGAACGCACAUUGCGCCCGCCAGUAUUCUGGCGGGCAUGCCUGUUCGAGCGUCAUUACAACCCUCAGGCCCCCGGGCCUGGCGUUGGGGAUCGGCGGAGCCCCCCGUGGGCACACGCCGUCCCCCAAAUACAGUGGUGGUCCCGCCGCAGCUUCCAUCGCGUAGUAGCUAACACCUCGCGACUGGAGAGCGGCGCGGCCACGCCGUAAAACACCCAACUCUUCUGAAGUUGACCUCGAAUCAGGUAGGAAUACCCGCUGAACUUAAGCAUAUCGAUAAGCGGAGGA